AAACAGAAUUCAGUGGAGUGUGUCUUAAAGGUGAUUGAUGUUCUUGGCUUGCCUGGCUUGUAAUGGGAGUGAAUGUAGCUCUGUGGAGAGGGAAAGGAGGGCGGUAAAGGGUAGUGAUCUUUAGGUUUUAAUUCUGUGAAUGUAAUCUUUUGGGGUAAUAAUCUAGGAGGAUUAAGGUGGGAUAUAUGUGUAUUGAUCCUAUAAGUAUUUGCUCUCAUAUUAUUGCUCCUGUAUUGGGGAGAGAAUAAUAAUCAUGACAAGUUCAUUAGUUUGGAAAAUUGGAGAGAGAGAGAAGUCACGGGGGGGGGGGGGGGGUUGUUCCGUGGGAGCCUUAUUUUUCCAGAAAUUUGCUUUGCAAUUCUGGAACUCACUUGUGACCAUGUCAGACAGCAUGGGCUUGAUGCUUCCCACAUUAUAUGGCAAGAGAAGAUUAUGCCUCAAGAGAUCAAGGAUGCUUUCAUUGUCUACCUCUAUAAAGGAAAAGGGAAUAGGUUGCCUUCUGACAAUCCUAGCAGAGUCCCUCUCAAUCAUUGCUGGCAAGAUUAUUCAAUUUUGAAAGCAUAUUGUGGAAUUCUGGUUUUGAAUAUCCUCUACUAUCGUCUUCUGUUUUAUGGUUUCACAUGCCAGAAGGGGUCUUUCCCAGACCUGGGAGUUGGCACCAUUGACUUUGGAAACAACAUUGCAACCAGAAUUCCAGGCAUAGAAAGGAAAGCCAGGACUGAAGAGCCAACGAUCUACCCUGCCUGAAGUAGAAGCCAAGAUCUUCCACAAGGGAGAACAGGACACCUCAGGGCAGCAGCUUAUCAGGAAUAGAGAAGAGUCAAGACCAGGACUCUCCACAAGGAGAAGAGAGACUUCAACUGAUAGAGAUAAGGACGGAGUAUGCUACCAUCUUGGAGGGAAGAUCUGCUCUGCAAAUGCUGGGAGGUGGGAAAAGGCAGGAUGAGACUGAAGAAUAGGAAAUAGUCCAAUCUGGCUGGAACAUAGAAUUCAAGUCAUAUACAAGAAGGAUGGAAAGGGAGGUCAGACACAGAUUGUGAAGGGACGUAAUACAAAUAUAAGGAGUUUAUAUUUUAUCCUCUAAAGUUUAGAUUUUUUCUAAUUUUAGAUAAUUUCUAAUUUUAGAUUUUUUUCUAAUUUUAGAUAAUUUCUAAAUUUAGAUAAUUUAGAUAAAAUUAGAUAAUUUCUCAUUUUUAGAUUUUCAGUGGUUCCAGAACCACUGAAAAAUUUUCACAGGAUAAGUAAUAAGCCAUGGGAAGAGUCAGUCAGUAUCUGUGUGACAGGUGAAUUGGAGGACUCCAAGGACAGAAGCUGGUGGAAGGUAGAGACUAGACAACCACAACAUUGGAGACAUUGGCAAGAGAGAGCAAUAGAGAACCUUUGUAUAAGAAGUUUAAGGUCUGCAAAGCACUUUACCAAGUAUUCUCUCAUUUGAUCCUCACAAAAACCCUGGGCAAUAGGUGCUAUUGUUAUACCCAUUUCAUAGAUUAGGAAACCGGCACAAUGAGAGACUGAGUAAUUUGCCAAGAGUCAUACUGGUAGUGUCUGAAACUGGAUUUGAACCCAAGACCUUCUGAUUCCAAGUCCUACAUUCUCUCUAUCUCUACUGGGUCACCUAGCAGAGAUGUGGUAUGUUCAGGGAAAAGCCAGAAUUUGGUUAGAAUAUAGAAGUUCAAGGAAUAGAAUAGGGAGGGUUUAGGAGGCAGGCACGUAUGUUCAGAGGAGGAAGGGGUAGACAGAAGAGGACAGUGUCUGGGGAUGGAGAGGACUAAAGCAGAUACAGGUAAGAGUCUGGGGAAAGAAGGCUCUUGUUUCCUCGGUCUCUCUCCCUCCGUCUCUGUCUUUUUCUCUAUUUCUGUCUGUCUGUCUUUAUCUACCUCUGUCUCUCUUUCUCUUUAUCAACCUUGGGGUUGAUAAACACUCAUGAUUGGGAGCAAUUAGCGGGACUGGGGAUAGGAUCCUUCUAGAGAAAAAGGGUGUAACCUGGGAAAUUAAAUAUAAUGCCAAGCCAAAAUUCCCAAGGGUCACCAAAUCCAAGGGCUAGGCAGGAUUCUAAGGGUUCAUAGUAGUGGUCAAAGAGUGAGGAGGAGGCAGGAAGGAACAAGUAUUUCUUAAGUACCUUCUAUGUGCCAAGCAUUGUGUUAAGCUCUUUAAAAAUAUUAUCCCGUUUGAUCCUCCUAACAACCUUGGAAAAUAGGUGCUAUUAUUAUCUCUGCCUCAUAGCUGAAUAAAUGGAGGCAGACAGUGGCUAUGUGACUUGCU
RNAcentral lists this long non-coding RNA (2262 nucleotides) under Monodelphis domestica (gray short-tailed opossum). Its description in RNAcentral is "lncRNA (ENSMODG00000031874.2)". The record is from RNAcentral. Lineage: Eukaryota; Metazoa; Chordata; Mammalia; Didelphimorphia; Didelphidae.